UGUGUGUGAGGGUGCUUUUAGUGUGAUGUGAGGGUGUUUGUGACUGUGCUGUUUGUGUGUUAGGGUGUUUGUGUGUGUUUGUCCUGUGAGGGUGCUGUUUGUGUGAGUGUCAUGUAUUUGUGAGGGUGCUAUUAGUGUGCUGUGUGUGAGUGUGUUGUGUUUUUUUUUAAAGGUACUGUGUGUGUUUGUGAGGGUGCAGUUAGUGUACUGUGUGUGUGUGAGCGUGCUGUAUGUGUGUAGGUGCUGUAUGUGUGUGUGCUGUAUGUUUGGGGGGAUUGUGGAGGUGGCUGCCAUGUGCCAUCCCUGGUGGUCCAGUGGGAACGCUGUUCCUGCAGGACUCAAACCAUAGGCGUGCCACGGGGAUUAGCGUGUGCCCAGGCACACCCGGCACACCCCGUGCGCACGCCUAUGAGGUCUGGUAUUGUUUGUCAGGCCAAGCAAAGCUCUAUAUUGUUGUAAGUGGUUAGGAUGUGUGUGAUCUAAUAAAGAGAUUCGAAACAACUCUUACUUAUGUGCAAUUUUGCGUGCUUAAUUUUCUUAUAUAAAAUAGCUGCUACUACAAAG
Pelobates cultripes (western spadefoot toad) is the source of this 564-nucleotide non-coding RNA. The record is from the annotation of a GenBank genome assembly. NCBI's taxonomy places the organism in Eukaryota, Metazoa, Chordata, Amphibia, Anura, Pelobatidae.